AUAUCUGAUCACUACUGUAGUAGGGUUGGAAGGUUAGACAGGUUGUAUAUAUCUGAUCACUACUGUAGUAGGGUUGGAAGGUUAGACAGGUUAGACAGGUGAUAUGUAUCUGAUCACUACUGUAGUAGGGUUGGAAGGUUAGACAGGUGGUAUAUAUCUGAUCUCUACUGUAGUAGGGUUGGAAGGUUAGACAGGUGGUAUGUAUCUGAUCACUACUGUAGUAGGGUUGGAAGGUUAGACAGGUGGUAUGUAUCUGAUCACUACUGUAGUAGGGUUGGAAGGUUAGACAGGUGGUAUGUAUCUGAUCACUACUGUAGUAGGGUUGGAAGGUUAGACAGGUUGUAUGUA
Molecule: long non-coding RNA, 348 nt
Organism: Oncorhynchus keta (chum salmon)
Lineage: Eukaryota; Metazoa; Chordata; Actinopteri; Salmoniformes; Salmonidae
Exons: 3
Source: RefSeq, a predicted model, not a curated record